CCUACGGGAGGCAGCAGUGGGGGAUAUUGCACAAUGGGGGGAACCCUGAUGCAGCGACGCCGCGUGGGUGAAGAAGCGCCUCGGCGCGUAAAGCCCUGUCAGCAGGGAAGAAAAUGACGGUACCUGAAGAAUAAGCCCCGGCUAACUACGUGCCAGCAGCCACCGUAAUACGUAGGGUGCAAGCGUUAUCCGGAUGUACUGGUUGGAAAGGGGACGCAGACGGCGAUGCAAGCCAGGAGUGAAAGCCCGGGGCCCAACCCCGGGACUGCUCUUGGAACUGGGUGGCUGGAGUGCAGGAGGGGCAGGUAGAAUUCCAGGUGUAGCGGUGAAAUGCGUAGAGAUGAGGAGGAAUACCAGAGGCGAAGGCGGCUGACUGGACUGUAACUGACGUUGAGGUUCGAAAGCGUGGGGAGCAAACAGGAUUAGAUACCCGGGUAGUC
RNAcentral lists this ribosomal RNA (440 nucleotides) under uncultured bacterium. RNAcentral describes it as "partial 16S ribosomal RNA". It matches the Rfam family "Bacterial small subunit ribosomal RNA", at positions 338 to 795 of the family's 1533-position model. The record is from RNAcentral.